This 6077-nucleotide long non-coding RNA is filed under the name Homo sapiens (human). RNAcentral's name for it is "non-protein coding lnc-IPO5-7:2". The record is from RNAcentral. Lineage: Eukaryota; Metazoa; Chordata; Mammalia; Primates; Hominidae.
ACACACACACACACACACACACAAUCUGUAUGAUGAUUUGGCCUGGAGUUGUAGACAUCACAGAUCAAAAGUGGCCUGGUGCUAGCUGUUUGGGUAUAUCCUUGAAAAGGGCAACUUUGUCAUUUCCUAGAGUAACCUAGAGAGAGAUUUCCAAGCAUUUCCCCAUGAACAGAAGUGGUAAAUGCUGAUUUAUUGUGCCAUAUGUGUGUUUGGGAGGAGGGGAGAUAGCGUCUUGUUUUGAAAAAAGUUCUCACUUCAUAAAAUAAACUGCACACCACUCCAAAAAAAAAAAAAAAGAUGAAACCUCAAGCAGGAGGAACUUUUUUAUUUAACCCCUAGUGAAAGCAAUUAAACGUCUUGGUAGAUGCUAGGGAAGAAUUAGAAAAUCUUCUUUUCCUGAAAGCUUUAAACAUUGAAUAGACUCUGAUUUAUUCAGGAUCAUUUCGGUGUAGAUUGGCCACUCGACACAGACAUCACAGCAUGGUAGCCUCGAAACCAAGCCUUCAGCAUCUUCUCGGCGCCCGGUGUUGGAGUGUUACUUGGAGUGGAGGCAGUGCAUUUGCAUCUUCAUGUAGUCUCCAGAUCAGGUUACUCUGAUUUGUCUUGGAGUGGCUUUCUGUUUGAAAGUAGGGAAGAUUAAAAAUCAACUUGCCACGGGAUAUCUGAUCUCCAUGAGUAGUUGAAAGCCAGUCUAAAAGGUUAACUCUACAGGGCCGGCGCCGCCAGUGCGGUCAUGGAAAAUCGUGCUGUGAGAUACUGGAGUGUGCUGCUGGGGCCAGGUGCAGCAAUUGCAGAAUGUUGAGGAGUGAGGAGUAGUUAGAAAUCACUGCAACAUGGAAAAGCACACAGACCAAGGACGCUAAGGAGGGAGCGAGGACUACCGGGCAGGUGUGCGUGUGUGGAGUAAAAUGCAUCGGACAGUGAUUGACUCCACUUUUGAGUGAGAUGUGGAGGCGGUAGUGGUGUGGGGGUUGUGAGGGAGUGAGUCUGCUUUAUUAUGAAUCAGGAUUGAUAGCUGGCCUUAAAGUGGGAAAUGAUAGAAGGGUCACUUAGGAGCCUGCAGUGGCAUGGUGACCAGUCUGUUAUUACUCAUAGAUGACCUUUUCUGGCUCUUGAAACCAAGCUAACGACUCCUUUUUCUUCUGGGCCUCAAAGUUUCUUUGUAGGAAGUAAAGCAUUUGUCACUUUCCCUGCAGUGAUUUAUUGAAAGACUGAAGAUAGGUCUUCCUUAGUUAAGGACGCACACUGGCUGCUCGCUCCAGAAGCACCAAGAAUGGCUGAUGGAUAAAUCCCUUACCCAUACUCCUGUUUCUGCCUCCUAAGGUUGCUGUGAAAACCUAACUAACCAAACCUCACCAGCUUGGCCUAUAUUAUUAAUCAAAUUCCCUUCUGUUCUCUCUGUGUGUAUAUUUAAUACUGUAGAUAAUAUGUUUUAUUUAAAAUUUCUAAUACACCAAAUUAAUUUGAAAUAGAAAAGGCUGGGGACUUCAUUCUCAUUUUUGUCAUUUGUUUAAUCAGUUUGGGAAAACAUUUUCCGUUGUUCCAUUGUAUGCAGUGUCUUGUCAGCAUGUACCUAUCUAGGAGAAAACGCUUUGUUUUCAGCGUUCUGUCUUUACCCUCAAAGCAUGGUGUAGCUUCUGUUCUUACACUGUUGGAGCACUGUCUGAUGUCUUUUUUUUUUUUUUUAACACUGCUGAAUACCAAUUUGUACUUGGAAUACCUCUUUCCUCUAGAAUACAGUGAUCCUAUUCCCCAAAGUGCAAGCUUUCAUGUGGAAGCAUCCUAAGUGAUCGUCCUGGGUGAUGCCAUAUUUCACUAAAGUGGGAAAAGAAGAGGUGAACUUUGCUCUUCCAACAAGGCUUGCACUUUAUACUUUGGGCAGUGCAUGGGAGAAGGGGGGCCCUUAGAGGUGAGCAGGAUCACUGUAGCUAGAGGAGAGGUCUCACUGAAACAGAACGCAUCUGUGACUGUAGCUUGCAUGGAGAGCCUAGACAGCCAACCAUGGAUUUGCCUUUAUGUUUUGAAUGGAAACAUCUAUUUCAAUUGGGAUAGAAACCUUUACCUAUGUCAUAUCUGUAAGAGAAUUUAGCUUAUAGAUAUGUAGAUACGUGUGUGUGUUGCUGGGUGGGGAAGUGGGUGGGAAUGUAGAAAAGGCCUCACCUGACUUGGUCCCAGUUGGCUUCUGAUGGCCAAGGAGCUGUUUUUCAUUUUGGUGGGCACCCAACAUGUAGGUUCUCACAGAUGCUGUCUGGUUUCUUCUUCUCUCCAUGGCGGAACAAUGAAGUACGUCAAUAAAGCAUGGACUCAUACCACUGGGAAGAAUGCUGGCUUCUCCAGUAACAAUGAGCUUGGUGGUUCUUUGAGCAUGGAAGGCCAAGCUCAUGUCACAGUGUAUGCACGGUAUUAAUAUAUCUCUUGUUGAUCUAAACUGAAGGGGCUUUUACUUGUCCUAACAGGUAUCAUGCUGUAAAAACUGUCCAUUGUAACUGUUCUUUCCCACUGAUGGCUGAAGCUUUGUCCUGAGUACAAGAUGGUAUUUUUCAUUGGUACGAAGCACCAUGUUCCCAACCCAAACACUGCCUCCACCACCACCACCACCACCAUCACCACCACCACUGCUACUACCAACAUCACCACCACCAUCACCACCACCGUGUUCAAACAAAGCAGCAUUCUCCUGUGUCUUUUCCUCAUAAGUAAGAACAAGGUAGCACAUUCAUUUUUCCAUUAGUGCAUUUCAAUUCUUUUCCUGCAAGUUGCAUUGCUAUUGCUUUUCUGAAUUGCUUGAUGAUGAACUGUGAAGCUGAUGCUUAGCUGCUUGUGAAACUUUUCUUAAAGGAACUGGGUCUAAGAAGCACACAUACAUUACCCUCAACAACCUCAGGUAUCAAGAAGAGGACCACACUGCUAACAUGGGUAAUCCUAUAACCUGGCUUUUCUUGUGGAACUUUGUAAUUUCUAUAAAAUACCGCCAGCUUUGCGUAUUCCACUGAGCCCCAACUUAGAUAUCAGACGCUAGUGAGUCCUGCCUAUUCAGGAAGCUACGUAUUAUUCAGCAUAAUACUGCCCUUUUUUUUGAUAACUGGCUUUCAAAUGGGAUAAUCUCAAGAGAGGUUUCAUUGUAUCCUCUUAGAGCGUAUGGAUUUAAAUAGAGCCUUUCAAAAAAAUAGAUGAAAACCUACAUCUCUAAUAUAUUUCCUACUUGGGCCUUUUGAGCAUAUUCUGGGCACAUAGAGAGAAAAUCUCCUAUGUUUUAGAACAGAAUAAAAGAAGACAAAUUAUGGUAGAUAAGUGGCACCCAGAAGAUUGCAAAAUAAAUAAUUUUAUGUGGGGGAAUAUUGAAGAAAAAGCAUAGAAACUUUUUUAUAAUUGCACUUUAAAAUUUUGGAAAAGAAAAAUUGAGAAUGCAAUCAGUAGUCUCAUUUUUGUCAGUAUUCUGUCAGAUAUUAGCUAUUCAAUAAGCAUAUCUUGGAUUACUAUUUUUUUAGUUGUCAGUUUUUCUAGUUUCCCCCUUUAUAGGAAAAAAUAAUACCUAUGUGGUUAAAAACUGAGACCCAUUUAAAAAACAGGACAGGUACAGUUAAGUACUAGAAAUGCCGUUUUUAUCACUUGAAAAAUAGAUUAGAAAUGUUUUUCUUUUCCCAGAAUUGUGUGAGUUUGUUUUGAAGCCUUGAAUACCGGUACAUGGUUAACAGGCAGCUUGUGCCCAAUCCCAAAGCGGGAAGAAAGGCCUGGCUUUGGCUCACUGAUGAUAAAGUCUCCUCCCACUGCCUUUCAGCAGCUCUGCCGAAGAGCUGAUCAAGAUGCUGCAAACCCAGCUUCCCCAGACCGGCCAAGAGGGAAGAAUGAUGAGCGUGUUUUAAAUUACAAAGAGAGAGCAGCGCAGGCAGUUUCUGGUCUGGGUGAUAAAUUGAAAUCCAUAAAUAUAGCAGUGCUAAUUUGAAGUUCCGUAAUUGUUUGUGCCAUGAGAAUGUGUACAUUUGAAAGGAUUUUAUAAAGCAAUUACUAGAAAUGCCUCCCUUGAGAGCUGUAUGACUGGAGGUGUUUUCAGUCUGAGGGGGGCAGCAUAAACCCAAACCUCUUCUAGAUGAAUGGCAGGGUGGCGGGAGGGGUCAUGAAAUCAUGGGGAAGAGGUGAAGGAUUUGAGAGCUACUAACCUGACAUCUAACUGAAUGCCUAAGAAAUUGCAGGGCAAUUUCAGGAAAUAGGAAAAAUAAUUUUGAAAACAUUCAAAGCCUCCAGACUUUCGGUGUGUGACUGAUCUUUUUUCUAAUCUCUUUAAACUUCUUUCCACCUAUUGCCUUAAUAGCAGGUGCUUCCUCUUAGGGUCCCCCCAAAUUAUUUACCUCGAGUUCCCUAAUGAAAUUACUUUGCAUUAAUUUGUCAUAAAGGGAGAAGUGCUAGAAAUACCGAGGCAUUGAUAAUUUCAUGGAGUAGCAAUGAAUGUCAGUCACAGUUUCCUCUCCCCGUUGCCCGGGGCUGUGCCUUCAAAGCAGGUGACAGACUGCAAGGUGUAAACAAGCUUUAUAAUGCCAUAUAAAUCAAACCGGGCUCAUUUUACCUAACAACAGAACCAUGUUUGUUUGCUUUUUUGUAAAAUGGACUACUUCAGUGAAAAAUUGAUUCCACGUAGUUCUAAUAACUCUGUGACCUUGGACAUUGGCUUUUUAUAGACACAGCUCUUCCCACCUGCUGGUAUGGACACCAGUUUGUACAGACUGUUGUCACACACCCUGGCUCAAAGUCAAAAGAGAAUUUUAAUUACUCAUCAAGCUGCCAAAUUCUACUAAUUGCCCCCUUGUCAGCAUAUUUCAUUAAUUGCUGAAAGGUAAAUGAGUUACAUAUUUUGUUUGGACCACGUCACCUGUACAUUUUCAAAGCCUCGGAUUGUUUAUCUUGCAAAGAGAGAAGGGGCCUCUUCUCCACAGAUGCAGCUCAAAUUAGCAAAACUGAACUGUAGAGUUUCAGGCCUUUCCCUUCCUUAAAAUGCUGAUAGAUUUCUAGACCAGACUUUGAUAUUUAUUGGCUUCUUGGUCUUGCUGUUUAAACACACCCAUUGCCCUUUCUUUCUUAGGCCCUAUAAGCAAAGCUGGAGUAGCGUCUUGGGAAAAGGCCAACUGACCACCCUAAUUUUGUCGUUCCAAGUCUGCAGAGCGCACAUAUUAAGUAGUUGUUACUGACAUCUUUAGGCUCCGUGAGUGAAAUGCAGCAAGCCUGCCCCCAGCAGCCUGUGGGCUAAUCCUGAGCUGUUCCUUCGUUUAGGUACACAGGUGACCCUGAAGUUCCCACUCGGCCCUCUGUUUUCUGAGUCCUGUCUCCUCUGUAGCACAGUGGGGAUUGUUCUGAACCGUGGCACGCCUUCUUGGCGAGGCAGGCUCUCUUAUGGAACCAUAGUCUGUUACCUCAUUUCUUCCAACUGCUCUGUCCCCUAAAUGUGUGUUCCCAGGUGCAGUGCAGCAAGGGUGCUCGCUGUUGGCCUUUGAGAGUGGAGGUGGCUGUAUCGGAGUGUGCUCCCCCUACUUUUUCCCUUGCCCCGAGUGGCAGUUCUUUUCCUCUCUGUUGCCGGAUGCUGUCUAGGGCCUGUUAGUUGCUAUUUCCUUGCCUCCGCUCCCCUUCCCACUAGCCUUCUAACUACCUUUUAUUCUCGGCUCCAACUCUUUCAAUGAUGAGGUGAAUGCUUUUUCUGUUCCACGUCACUGCAAAGUCAAGGUGUCCAGCAUGCUCUCACUUAUAACUGCCUCACCCGAUCUCACGCACAGUGCGAGAGCUGAAGGUAAGCCCCGGAUGUUGCCAGAUUACGGUGGACAAAUAAAAAACAACUCUCCAACAGCAACUCACAAAUGCAUGAAAUGUUUUAACCUCUAGACAGACUGCCAGAAUUUCUCUCUUCUAAUUCCUACUUGUAGUGAUAACAUUUUUCUUUUUGUGAUUUUUUUUUUUUUAAAUAAUAGUGUAGUACCUUGAAACAACUGCAGUUCUAACUCAUUGUCACCAUUUCUGUUUGACACGUUCCACUUCCUUUGCAAUUAUUGUAUUUAGUUGUGCACUAGUGUCAAUAAAAUUGACAUUUGUGAAGC